UGUGCAGCUUUCCUGGCUGGAGCAGAACUGGACCCUUGUUGGUGUGGGGUGUUUUGGGUUUUUUAAAAAUUUUUAUCAUUACUUGCCCUUGUAUCCCCGCCUUCUUUUUUGCAGGAAACAUUUUGGUUUUUUCUACACACCAAGUUUCUGUCUCCAGAUCUCUUCGGCUCAGUUCCUGGGGAGCUUGACACCCCAGAGCCCCUUGGGAGAACCAUCUACUGGACGGAGAAGAUGGAUGACAAUGACCUGCUUCUCCAGUUCAGCCACCAAGUGCUGUCCACAUCUCAAUCUCUGUUCACAACCAAUAACCAGGGGGGUGGAGAACAGCCCACCACCAGUUUCGACUAUGAUUACAGCAUACCCUGCCAUAAAACGGAUGUGAGGCAGAACGCGGUCAGGCUCCUGCCCCCGCUCUACUCCCUCGUGUUCAUCUUCGGCUUCCCGGGCAACCUGCUGGUCGUCCUCAUCCUCAUCAACUGCAAAAAGCUGAAGAGCAUGACUGACAUCUACCUGCUCAACCUGGCCAUCUCCGACCUGCUCUUCCUCCUCACCUUCCCCUUCUGGGCCCACUAUGUGGCCAACGGGUGGGUCUUUGGGGAUAUGAUGUGUAAGACAGUCACAGCGUUCUAUCACAUGGGUUACUUUGCUGGAAACUUCUUCAUCAUCCUCCUGACUAUCGAUAGGUACCUGGCUAUUGUCCAUGCUGUGUUUGCAUUGAAGGCCAGGACGGUCACCUUUGGGGUGGUGACAAGCCUGGUCACCUGGGUGCUGGCCGUGGUUGCCUCUCUCCCAGGGUGUGUCUUCAACAAUUUGCAGUGGGAAGACACUUUUUACGCCUGCCGCCCUUCUUUCCAACCAGGAUGGAAGAACUUCCAUGCAAUCAUGAGGAGCAUCUUGGGCCUGGUCUUGCCCCUGCUUGUCAUGAUCAUCUGCUACUCAGCCAUCCUCAAGACCCUGUUCCGCUGUCGCAACGAAAAAAAGAAGCACAAGGCCGUGAAGCUCAUUUUCGUGAUCAUGAUUGUGUACUUUCUUUUCUGGGCCCCCAACAACAUCGUCCUCCUCCUGAGCACCUUCCCGGAUUCCUUCGGCCUGAAUACCUGUAAGACCUCCAGUCAGCUGGACCAAGCCAUGCAGGUGACAGAGACCCUGGGGUGGACGCACUGCUGCGUCAACCCCAUCAUCUACGCUUUCGUCGGGGAGAAGUUCAGAAGGUAUCUCUCCGUGUUUUUCCGGAAGCACAUCGCCAAACACCUCUGCAAACAGUGCCCAGUCUUCUACAGGGAGACCGCAGAUCGAGUGAGCUCCACGUACACGCCUUCCACGGGCGAGCAGGAGGUCUCCGCCGGCUUGUAAAUGAGGAGCAGUUUGCCUCUGACCCUUAAGGGGGACGGAAAUCUGUACAUGAUCAUAAGCUUCAGGUCUGUCAAAGAAAGGAGGCGGGUGACCCUCUCAGGCCAGCGUGCAGGAGGCUCAGGGGGGGUGCACCCAAACAGACUUUGUCGCUCCCUGGGCAGCCAACAUGCCCUCAGGGAAUGUUCCAGAACAGCUGUGGGGGGAGACAGUGACUCUCCAAAGAGCUCCUCACAGUUCGUGGGAAACUCCGCCCCUGGAAAAUGGCUCUGUGCUUCUCUCAGCCCCCACCUGCACCUCACUCGCUCCCCAGUGCUCUCUCUCUGGUCAGGGGCACAGCUGGAGGCGGGGAGGGGUGUGGGGGGGGGCAGCCCUGCCAGGAGGAGGGAGCUUGGGGUAUGGCUGUGCCUAGAUAAGGAGGAGGGAAGGACGUCAGCAGCGCCGUCCGCAGCCUCGCCUCCCACCAGAAUUACCUGGAAGGUCCCACGUGGUCCCAGCAAGCAUGGAAAGCGUAAGAACUCUCCGAGAGAGCUUUACUUGGGUCCAAUCGUCCUCUUCGGUGCAAGCGCAGGACACACUUUUGCUUCCUUAGGAUUUAUCUGGGAUAACCACGCACCCUACAUCUGAAACCUAGCAAAUAUCGUGCCCCCUUGUUCACACGUGUCUCAUGCCAUAUCCCCCUAAGUAAAAAUGUAGGAACAUUUUUUUGUUCAUAAAAUAUGCGUAAUCUAUAAUGAGAGGAAAAAAUAAGAGGCCUCGUUGGGUGUUACGGGGGGGGGGUGGCGGUGUGGGGGUUGCAGGUAAUGAUGAUAAGAAGGAGUGAAGGGUUAGUUUCUGCAUCAGGAGCUCAGGGCUAUAACAGCAGCUCAGGAAGCUGUGUGAGGCCGCUGCCCCAGCAGUGUUUCCAGAAUCAGCUAGGAGCAGAGGCCAGGAAGGUGCAUCAGAACCCACAAGGGUCUCGUGCCUUUGCAUCUUGCUGCCUGCCCCUGCUUCCCACUGCCUUGGCCCCAUCUGCCGCCCUCCCCCUUCAUCCCCUCACUCUUGCCCAGAGGAUUGCCCCACCCCAGAAGCGGUAUGUGGAGGUUCAGGAGAAUAGCCUCGGGGAAUAGAAAAUGGUGGAACCAGAAGCCCUCAGCGGGCCCGGAAGAUGGGGAGCAGCAGGUAUGGGCCCUGGGGUGUGCCUCCGGGACAGAGGGGCCCAGAGGACAUGACAGAGGCCUCACCUCUGAGACAGGUGGCCUGUGAAUGUCGGGAUCUAACUGGCCAGGCAGGGCAAAGACUCCUGACAGGCUGGGGAAAAGUGUUUUCCAAACUAUCUUCCUGCACCUCAUUUUUGGAUACAGGCAUAGAAUUCAGAUGUAUAAAAAGAGAUUAAUAGUAAUAAUAAAGUAAAAAUAAAAGUAAACCUGAAACUACAACUUGUAAAUGGGGCAGAGUCAUUUUAAGAGUUGUUAUUAGGUCAAGUCCGAAAAUACUGUGUUAGUCACAGAAUUUGAGCUUCGGUUUUGACUUGAAAAUGUUCACGCAUGCCGUGUGUUUGGGACAGUACCAAUGCAGCAUAAAUAGUUGUCGUCAAGGAGUCAGGUGGCUGCGAUCAAAGGGUGCUGGUUUUGGUGUCUAAGUAGUGCCAUGUGGCUCACAGCACACACUCCAUAACUGCCAUCUCCACGGUGUCUUUACCCUCCCAGAUUUGCUGCCACGCAUCUAUUUUGUGUCCCUACGCAUCCCAGGACGUCAUGGGUUUAAUCAUGUUUGGAUGCUUCGGUGCUUUGUAGAUAUCCUCAGGGAAGCUCGAACUCUCCGGUUUGGAUUGGGGGCUCCUAUAUUGCAUGGACCCCUCAUCAAACGUUGAAACCCAAUUUGUAAAGGAGGGGAGUUGGGUCACUUACGGAAGCAAAGACUUCAUCUUGGUGGAGCCACGGUAAGAACAGACAUGCGUGUCACCCAGUGGAUUUCUGAUCUGACGCAAGCAGGAAACACGGGGCUUUUGGAACCUGGCAACUCGGGAGCUGGAAGUUACUAUGGUUCUACUUUCCUGCUUCAUGGCCAGAGAAGGCUCCAGAAAGAAGUAGGGUGAGGAGACCAUGCUUCAUCUUCAGCCUCUGGCAACCACCACGUCCAUGAUUCUAUUUUAGACACCUCGUGGAAGUCGAAGCAUGGAGCAUUCAUCCUUCUAUGCCAGGCUUAUUUCACUCAGUAUCAUGCCCCCAAGCUUCAUCGAAGUUGCCGUACGUGGCAGGACAUCCUUCUCUGGAAAGUGGACUAAUCGCCCACUGUAUGUAUAUACUAUAUUUUCUCUACACAUUUAUCAAUGCGCACAAAAUUUUGGUGAUACAAGGUGAUAAAUUCCAAGCAUCUGCUUUACCACAAUGUACCUGUCCAUUCAAUACUGUAUUAUGCACUUAAAAAUCUGGUAAGCGCGUAGAUGGCAUGUGAAGCCUCCUAACCAUAAAAAUAAUAAGCCUUACAUUGUCUUAGUUUUCACUUUUCACUGCUUCCUCUGUGCGAUUACACAUUCUUGUCCUUGCCGUGUGACUUACAGUGUGCCUACAGGUGGCCUCCACGACCCGCUCCCCAGGUGGCUCGGCCACUAAAGCGUGAGCAGCCACACUGUAGUAAAGCAGUGGAGUGGCAAAGCAGGUGGGCUGAGCCUCUGGCGGUCCCAGCUCAGCCACCAGAAGGUCCAUCCCAGGCCACACCAGGUCAAGAAGACACAGAGAACAGAGCCAGAACCCCAGGCACACGGCAGCCACGUGUCACAGGGGCAGAGGGUCCAUGCUCGCCGUUUUAAGCCAUUGGGCAAUGGAGACUGUUUGCUUAGAAGCACAAAAAGCUAAUGAGUGCAUAUG
Hyaena hyaena (striped hyena) is the source of this 4199-nucleotide RNA transcript. It is a transcript of the gene named C-C chemokine receptor type 2-like, with no coding region annotated. Lineage: Eukaryota; Metazoa; Chordata; Mammalia; Carnivora; Hyaenidae. The transcript has 3 exons. The record is from RefSeq and is a predicted model, not a curated record.